This 362-nucleotide unclassified non-coding RNA is filed under the name fungal sp. RNAcentral describes it as "partial internal transcribed spacer region". The stretch from base 1 to 46 matches the Rfam family "Eukaryotic small subunit ribosomal RNA", at positions 1786 to 1831 of the family's 1831-position model. The record is from RNAcentral. Lineage: Eukaryota; Fungi.
AAGUCGUAACAAGGUUUCCGUAGGUGAACCUGCGGAAGGAUCAUUAACACGUACCCUUUACAAUUAUAAACCCCACACUCUUCUAUUUGUCGCAAGACUCUUAGAUGGCGAACUUUGAAGGCUUUCUUCCGGUGCUUGGCAACAAGUGCUGGCUCUGCGUAAGAUGGAUAGACGCUAGCAGAGAGCGGGAAGCCGGUCGGCAGGAGUACUCUUGUCGGCUAAAUUGGCGUUUGUCUACCUUUUAUUAAACAACACAAACAUUUUCGACGAAAACUUUUUCGAUGCUAGUUGGCGCAAGCUGACUGCAAAGAAUCUAUUCAAAAACUAAAAUACAACUUUUAGCAAUGGAUAUCUUGGUUCUC